AUGAUCGCACCAACCACUGAUUACGCACGGAAACCGUGUUGCUGCCAUUCAGCAGGGGGACACUCAGUGUGUCUCCCUCAGUGGAACGGCAGGGGCAGGACCAGGCCCCAGGCCUGGAGGCGGAGGUCUGAACGGAGAGCCGGCAGCAAGGCCGGUGAGGCGGCCCCAGGGUGGGAGAACGGCUACUCCAUUCAGAGGCUUCCGGAUGCCAGGGGCUCACAGGGACGGAACAGAUGCAGACACGAUGUUGAUGCCUCUCGAGUGCUUCACCUACAGACAGCCUGGCUAGAGAGGCUCCUGGGUCUACAGACGUUCAGGAAUCAGGGCCUAGAGGCCUCCGCUUUCCCCAAAGUCCUCCCAGCCGAUCACAGAGACCGAGGCAGCCUCGGCCUGGCCAGCCUGUGCCCUGCAUGGCACCACCUCCGCGUGCUGACCCCAUACGCUCAGCAGGCCCCGCAGAGGACUUCUGGCCUGCAGGCCUGGGCUGCGAGCAAGCUUCCCUUCUUCUUCUCCCCAGAAGGCGUGGGGGUGGGCACACGCAAGACAGUCCCUUCUGCCCGGGGCUCCCCUGAAGCCCACGCUCCCCCGCGUUCCCGGGGGGCCGGCCCCCUGCACUGGCCGCUGGCUGCCGACACAGGCGGGCAUCUCGGAAGGAGGCCCGAGGUGGCCCCACUCUGCUGGACCCCGGCGCCCAUGCUUCUGCGUCUUUGUCUGCCUUCUCCCGCAGCUGCUCCACCUGCCUCGGACUCUCAGAUUCUCUUCCCUAGCCCGGCCUCUCCUCCUGUCCAGCGCUCAGCAGAGGGGGGCACUCGGGCAGUUCCCGGCCCGCUCAGCCCCUCCUCUGACCAAGCUGGACCAACACGCUUCCCUGACCCUAGAGCCUGGUUUGCGGUCAGCUCACCGCUGGACCCGCCACACUUGUGCAGCUUCCGCCCUCCUCAUCACCCUGUGCUCACAGCCAGAGAAGGCCAGCCACCCGUGUCCCCUCUCCCCUCGCCCCUCAAAACCAUGGGGGAAAACCCAGGUGCAUCCAGAGACGGCGGCCAGGGGCAGGCUGGCCCUCCGCUUCUUCCUCUGGAGCCCCCAGUCUCCACCAGCCCCCCUUCAGGUGGGCCCGUCACUGCUGCUCAUCCGGAACCUCUGUGCGUGCAUUCAGUCCCGUGCCGGUGA
Molecule: long non-coding RNA, 1170 nt
Organism: Bos indicus x Bos taurus (hybrid cattle)
Lineage: Eukaryota; Metazoa; Chordata; Mammalia; Artiodactyla; Bovidae
Source: Ensembl